AGCGACAUCUGCUUGUUCCUUCUCCAUGCUUCAGCUAUGGUGAGGACACGUGCAUUGGCGGCGACCCUUGUCGGCGACGACUUUGGCGACCGGGGAGGGAGGUCAGAUGUUCUGGACGCUGGCAACCUGCAUGUGGAGGUUGGCGACGGUGGAGGCCUCAUGGAUCACAAUGGCCUCAGCGUUAGAGAAGGAUCCGAUGGGGGGCUACGCCAGCUUGAGAGCGGCAACAAACGCACACUGCAGGCCAGCGACAUCUGCUUGUUCCUUCUCCAUGCUUCAGCUAUGGUGAGGACACGUGCAUUGGCGGCGACCCUUGUCGGCGACGACUUUGGCGACCAGGUCGUCCCUCCCCUUCUAAGUGGUGGCAACAUCUUCCUUGGCACGUUGUGCAGCCUACUCUUGGGCACGAGCAGCGGCGGGCUCGGCCUCACUAGGGGUUGACGACGUCGGCGACAUGGAUCAUAAUGGCCACGAGAUCAUUAACGUCUCCUGAUAGAAAGCCUAUCGAUGUAUUAUAGGAGAUACGGUGUUACACAUAUAUAGGCAAGGAUAGUCGAGGGUUUAUAGAAACAGAACCAAUCAAAGGAGAUCCUUGCCUAAUAGAGAUCAAUCUAUCUAUCAACGGAGAUCCUUGCCUAAUAGAGACCGGUCUAUCUAUCCUAGCCAUACAGGCAGGAUUCUAAUACCAAUCAAUGGAGAUCCUUGCCUAAUAGAGAUUGAUCCAUCUAUCAACGGAGAUCUAACAUGACCACUUGACCAGAGAUGAGACAAAAAACUAAAUUCCAAUCAGGUGAGGUAUCAUCUAGUGCAGUAGCCAUUUUAGAUGUGCAAUUAACCAAAGAGUUUAUGCCAGAUGGUGGUGGGGUAGUAUUGCUUGUUAUUAUAAUCUGUCAAGUUUCCUGUCAAAUAGUAUGCCAGCUCUUUAAUAUCCUUUAUUCCUUUAACAUGUCGAUUUUUCACC
RNAcentral lists this unclassified non-coding RNA (961 nucleotides) under Zea mays. RNAcentral's name for it is "misc RNA Zm00001eb433990". Lineage: Eukaryota; Viridiplantae; Streptophyta; Magnoliopsida; Poales; Poaceae. The record is from RNAcentral.